ACUUUGAUUAUGGCUCGGGACGAACGCUGGCGGCGCGCCUAACACAUGCAAGUCGAGCGGGAAGCUUUUUAAGGAUUCUUCGGAUGAAUUAAAAAGUGGAGAGCGGCGGACGGGUGAGUAACGCGUGAGAAACCUGCCCUAUACAGGGGGAUAGCCAUUGGAAACGAUGAUUAAUACCCCAUAUGACCACAGUAUCGCAUGAUACAGCGGUGAAAACUCCGGUGGUAUAGGAUGGUCUCGCGUCUGAUUAGCUAGUUGGUGGGGUAACGGCCUACCAAGGCGACGAUCAGUAGCCGGCCUGAGAGGGUGACCGGCCACACUGGAACUGAGACACGGUCCAGACUCCUACGGGAGGCAGCAGUGGGGAAUAUUGCACAAUGGGCGAAAGCCUGAUGCAGCGACGCCGCGUGAACGAUGAAAGCUUUCGAGUCGUAAAGUUCUGUUCUUGGGGAAGAUAACGACGGUAUCCAAGGAGAAAGCACCGGCUAAAUACGUGCCAGCAGCCGCGGUA
Molecule: ribosomal RNA, 511 nt
Filed under: uncultured bacterium
Lineage: Bacteria
Description: bacterial SSU rRNA
Rfam family: Bacterial small subunit ribosomal RNA
Source: RNAcentral